This 600-nucleotide ribosomal RNA is filed under the name Rhodotorula mucilaginosa. RNAcentral's name for it is "eukaryotic LSU rRNA". It matches the Rfam family "Eukaryotic large subunit ribosomal RNA", at positions 47 to 663 of the family's 3401-position model. The record is from RNAcentral. Lineage: Eukaryota; Fungi; Basidiomycota; Microbotryomycetes; Sporidiobolales; Sporidiobolaceae.
UAAGCGGAGGAAAAGAAACUAACAAGGAUUCCCCUAGUAGCGGCGAGCGAAGCGGGAAGAGCUCAAAUUUAUAAUCUGGCACCUUCGGUGUCCGAGUUGUAAUCUCUAGAAAUGUUUUCCGCGUUGGACCGCACACAAGUCUGUUGGAAUACAGCGGCAUAGUGGUGAGACCCCCGUAUAUGGUGCGGACGCCCAGCGCUUUGUGAUACAUUUUCGAAGAGUCGAGUUGUUUGGGAAUGCAGCUCAAAUUGGGUGGUAAAUUCCAUCUAAAGCUAAAUAUUGGCGAGAGACCGAUAGCGAACAAGUACCGUGAGGGAAAGAUGAAAAGCACUUUGGAAAGAGAGUUAACAGUACGUGAAAUUGUUGGAAGGGAAACGCUUGAAGUCAGACUUGCUUGCUGAGCAAUCGGUUUGCAGGCCAGCAUCAGUUUUCCGGGAUGGAUAAUGGUAGAGAGAAGGUAGCAGUUUCGGCUGUGUUAUAGCUCUCUGCUGGAUACAUCUUGGGGGACUGAGGAACGCAGUGUGCCUUUGGCGGGGGUUUCGACCUCUUCACACUUAGGAUGCUGGUGGAAUGGCUUUAAACGACCCGUCUUGAAACAAG